AGUGCGGCUUCGGCUGCGCUGCAUCUCAA
RNAcentral lists this ribosomal RNA (29 nucleotides) under Peronospora potentillae-sterilis. Its description in RNAcentral is "partial 26S ribosomal RNA". Lineage: Eukaryota; Oomycota; Peronosporomycetes; Peronosporales; Peronosporaceae. The record is from RNAcentral.